UACGUAGGGUGCAAGCGUUAAUCGGAAUUACUGGGCGUAAAGCGUGCGCAGGCGGUUAUGUAAGACAGAUGUGAAAUGCCCGGGCUUAACCUGGGAACUGCAUUUGUGACUGCAUGGCUAGAGUUUGGCAGAGGGGGGUAGAAUUCCACGUGUAGCAGUGAGAUGCGUAGAUAUGUGGAGGAACACCGAUGGCGAAGGCAGCCCCCUGGGUCAAGACUGACGCUCAUGCACGAAAGCGUGGGGAGCAAACAGG
This 253-nucleotide ribosomal RNA is filed under the name uncultured bacterium. RNAcentral's name for it is "partial 16S ribosomal RNA". It matches the Rfam family "Bacterial small subunit ribosomal RNA", at positions 524 to 776 of the family's 1533-position model. The record is from RNAcentral.